This 906-nucleotide ribosomal RNA is filed under the name Tramea limbata. Its description in RNAcentral is "SSU rRNA". It matches the Rfam family "Eukaryotic small subunit ribosomal RNA", at positions 48 to 915 of the family's 1831-position model. Lineage: Eukaryota; Metazoa; Arthropoda; Insecta; Odonata; Libellulidae. The record is from RNAcentral.
GCCAUGCAUGUCUCAGUACAAGCCGCAUUAAGGCGAAACCGCGAAUGGCUCAUUAAAUCAGUUAUGGUUCCUUAGAUCUUACACCACUUACAUGGAUAACUGUGGUAAUUCUAGAGCUAAUACAUGAAACCAGACCCCGACUUUGCGGAAGGGGUGCUUUUAUUAGAACAAAACCAAUCGGGGGGCUCGUCCCUCCGUUGCCUUGGUGACUCUGAAUAACUUUGAGCUGAUCGCACGGUCCCAGCACCGGCGACGCAUCUUUCAAAUGUCUGCCUUAUCAACUGUCGAUGGUAGGUUCUGCGCCUACCAUGGUUGUAACGGGUGACGGGGAAUCAGGGUUCGAUUCCGGAGAGGGAGCCUGAGAAACGGCUACCACAUCCAAGGAAGGCAGCAGGCGCGCAAAUUACCCACUCCCGGCACGGGGAGGUAGUGACGAAAAAUAACGAUACGGGACUCAUCCGAGGCCCCGUAAUCGGAAUGAGAACACUUUAAAUCCUUUAACGAGGAUCUAUUGGAGGGCAAGUCUGGUGCCAGCAGCCGCGGUAAUUCCAGCUCCAAUAGCGUAUAUUAAAGUUGUUGCGGUUAAAAAGCUCGUAGUCGGAGGUGUGUCUCGGACGGUCGGUUCGCCGCUUGUCGGUGCUCAACUGGCCGGUCCGGACGUCCUGCCGGUGGGGCUGUAAAAGGCUCCGGUUAUCCUUCUUUGGUCCUCUUCAUUGAGUGCCUUGGUGGGCCGGCACGUUUACUUUGAACAAAUUAGAGUGCUCAAAGCAGGCCGUUGGUCGCCUGAAUACUGUGUGCAUGGAAUAAUAGAAUAGGACCUCGGUUCCAUUUUGUUGGUUUUCAGAACUCGAGGUAAUGAUUAAUAGGGACGGACGGGGGCAUUCGUAUUGCGACGUUAGAGGUGAA